RNAcentral lists this long non-coding RNA (206 nucleotides) under Ananas comosus (pineapple). RNAcentral describes it as "long non-coding RNA (ACOM_LNC027463)". Lineage: Eukaryota; Viridiplantae; Streptophyta; Magnoliopsida; Poales; Bromeliaceae. The record is from RNAcentral.
UGAUUGAUGUGUAUAUGUAUGUGAAUUAGAGAGAGAGAAAGUAUAUUAGAGCAAAAAGUCCUGAGUUCGAUCGAGUCCAAUCAAAUCUGUAGUAUCAUUUAAUUUUCUCUUAUUUAAUUUAAGCCGACGUUUUGAGCCUAUCAGAAAGUCUAAAGACCAGGUCACGAACAAAUAGAGCAAUGCCAAAAUUACUCCCAAUUAUUGAC